This 253-nucleotide ribosomal RNA is filed under the name uncultured bacterium. RNAcentral's name for it is "partial 16S ribosomal RNA". It matches the Rfam family "Bacterial small subunit ribosomal RNA", at positions 524 to 776 of the family's 1533-position model. The record is from RNAcentral.
UACGUAGGGGGCUAGCGUUGUCCGGAAUCAUUGGGCGUAAAGCGCGUGUAGGCGGCCCGGUAAGUCCGCUGUGAAAGUCGGGGGCUCAACCCUCGAAAGCCGGUGGAUACUGUCGGGCUCGAGUACGGGAGAGGCGAGUGGAAUUCCUGGUGUAGCGGUGAAAUGCGCAGAUAUCAGGAGGAACACCGAUUGCGAAGGCAGCUCGCUGGAACGUUACUGACGCUGAGACGCGAAAGCGUGGGGAGCAAACAUG